Molecule: ribosomal RNA, 254 nt
Filed under: uncultured bacterium
Lineage: Bacteria
Description: partial 16S ribosomal RNA
Rfam family: Bacterial small subunit ribosomal RNA
Source: RNAcentral
UACAGAGGUCUCAAGCGUUGUUCGGAUUCAUUGGGCGUAAAGGGUGCGUAGGCGGCGCGGUAAGUCGGGUGUGAAAUCUUGGAGCUUAACUCCGAAACUGCAUUCGAUACUGCCGUGCUUGAGGACUGGAGAGGAGACUGGAAUUUACGGUGUAGCGGUGAAAUGCGCAGAUAUCAGGAGGAACACCGGUGGCGAAGGCGGCAUCCUGGACCAACACUGACGCUGAGUGAGCGAAAGCCAGGGGAGCAAACGGG